GUGAGUAACACGUGGGUGAUCUGCCCUGCACUUCGGGAUAAGCCUGGGAAACUGGGUCUAAUACCGGAUACGACCUUCGGCUGCAUGGCUGGGGGUGGAAAGGUUUACUGGUGCAGGAUGGGCCCGCGGCCUAUCAGCUUGUUGGUGGGGUAAUGGCCUACCAAGGCGACGACGGGUAGCCGACCUGAGAGGGUGACCGGCCACACUGGGACUGAGACACGGCCCAGACUCCUACGGGAGGCAGCAGUGGGGAAUAUUGCACAAUGGGCGAAAGCCUGAUGCAGCGACGCCGCGUGAGGGAUGACGGCCUUCGGGUUGUAAACCUCUUUCAGCAGGGACGAAGCGAGAGUGACGGUACCUGCAGAAGAAGCACCGGCCAACUACGUGCCAGCAGCCGCGGUAAUACGUAGGGUGCAAGCGUUGUCCGGAAUUACUGGGCGUAAAGAGCUCGUAGGCGGUUUGUCGCGUCGUCUGUGAAAACUCGAGGCUCAACCUCGAGCUUGCAGGCGAUACGGGCAGACUUGAGUACUGCAGGGGAGACUGGAAUUCCUGGUGUAGCGGUGAAAUGCGCAGAUAUCAGGAGGAACACCGGUGGCGAAGGCGGGUCUCUGGGCAGUAACUGACGCUGAGGAGCGAAAGCGUGGGUAGCGAACAGGAUUAGAUAC
This 665-nucleotide ribosomal RNA is filed under the name Rhodococcus sp. (in: high G+C Gram-positive bacteria). RNAcentral describes it as "bacterial SSU rRNA". It matches the Rfam family "Bacterial small subunit ribosomal RNA", at positions 106 to 785 of the family's 1533-position model. Lineage: Bacteria; Bacillati; Actinomycetota; Actinomycetes; Mycobacteriales; Nocardiaceae. The record is from RNAcentral.